GACUAAGGUUCGACUCGAGCGCCAGCGAGAGAACGUUGCCGCAGGCAACGGCCCGAAGGGCGAGGAGCGAUAGCGACGAGU
RNAcentral lists this small RNA (81 nucleotides) under Klebsiella aerogenes. Its description in RNAcentral is "RtT sRNA". It matches the Rfam family "RtT RNA", at positions 34 to 111 of the family's 130-position model. From Rfam's summary of the family: This family represents a bacterial cis-regulatory element known as RtT RNA. The exact function of RtT is unknown although it is thought that it may be involved in changing the cellular response in relation to amino acid starvation. The record is from RNAcentral. Lineage: Bacteria; Pseudomonadati; Pseudomonadota; Gammaproteobacteria; Enterobacterales; Enterobacteriaceae.